This 442-nucleotide long non-coding RNA is filed under the name Physcomitrium patens. Its description in RNAcentral is "long non-coding RNA (PPAT_LNC013515)". The record is from RNAcentral. Lineage: Eukaryota; Viridiplantae; Streptophyta; Bryopsida; Funariales; Funariaceae.
UAUUAGACUUGAUUUUUAAUAUUUUUGGUAAAAUUUGAAAAUAAUUCAACAAUUCAAGAAGGAAGUAUUGGUACUAGAAAUUCAACAUUUAGAUUGGGGUAGAAGGCUACUUAAUAUGUAAUUAGAUUAUCUUGUAUUUCUCUUAAUUGAUAAGUGCAAUUGAUUUCAUCUUUCUUGUACUUUUUUCUAAGUAAGAUAUUAAGAAGUGUAAAAAUUUUGAGUUGAUAUCAAUGGUUUGAUUAUUAAUUAUUGUUGUCUCAUUUGCUAUAGAAUUAUUAAGAGUUUGUUUAAGAUUUAGGAUUUGAUUAGGAUUUGGUUUCAUAUUUGGUCUAGAAUUUGCUUAGGAUUUGAUUUAGAACUUAUUUAGGAUUUGUCUAGGAUUUAAGAUUUAUUAGGAUUUGAGCUAGGAUUUGAUGACGAUUCAAUUAGGAUUUCAUUAAGA